Hibiscus syriacus is the source of this 458-nucleotide long non-coding RNA. RefSeq lists it as uncharacterized. NCBI's taxonomy places the organism in Eukaryota, Viridiplantae, Streptophyta, Magnoliopsida, Malvales, Malvaceae. The transcript is spliced from 3 exons. The record is from RefSeq and is a predicted model, not a curated record.
UAAAAAUGAAAAAGGUGGCUUAGAAAACGGCAGUGAAGAAGCUUAGCCAAAGUGCAUAUUCCCUUCUUCUUCUUUAAUGGCAGAUCUUGUGUUCCCUUUAUCUACAUUUUGAAUUCACGGCGUCGUUUUGAAUUGUUUGAGACGAAUCGUUCCUCCGAGUUGAGUAAAUCAGUGAUCGAAGAUGCUGGACGGAAUCUAAGGCCGUGGUUUUGCCUCAAAAGUAAAUCAUUGAUUAAAGUGAUAAAAAGUCGGAUUGAUGUGAUACGGAGGAAAAGGAGCGCGACGCUUAAGUUUUUGAAGAAAGAUAUAGCUGAUUUGCUCGCUAAUGGACUGGAUAUUAAUGCUUUCGGCAGGGUGGAAGGAUAUAUAGCUGAAUUGCUCCUUUCGUCUUGCUAUGAUUUUAUUGAGAAAUGUUGUGAUUUCGUGUCGAAGCAUGUUUCGGUCAUACAAAAGCUGAG